GUCCUUUUCGUCUAGUGGUUAGGACGUUGUCUCUUUACGACAAAAAAAUAGGUUCGAUUCCUGUAAAGGAU
This 71-nucleotide transfer RNA is filed under the name Dictyota dichotoma. RNAcentral describes it as "tRNA-Lys". It matches the Rfam family "tRNA". Rfam says of the family: Transfer RNA (tRNA) molecules are approximately 80 nucleotides in length. Their secondary structure includes four short double-helical elements and three loops (D, anti-codon, and T loops). The record is from RNAcentral. Lineage: Eukaryota; Phaeophyceae; Dictyotales; Dictyotaceae.